This 1587-nucleotide long non-coding RNA is filed under the name Laticauda laticaudata (blue-ringed sea krait). RNAcentral describes it as "lncRNA (ENSLLTG00000000507.1)". Lineage: Eukaryota; Metazoa; Chordata; Lepidosauria; Squamata; Elapidae. The record is from RNAcentral.
AUAUAAGGAAUUAGGCCAGAAUUCAGUCAAUUUCUCACCUACACUUUGUGACUGGAAUAUCACAAAUGAAAUUCAAUCCUCAUUUAAACUCUUCAACUUUUCCCUCAUGGAUUUACUUGUGUGCACCAAGGAAUGAUUUAUGAUUGAAAUAAAGAUCACAGACUGGACAUAUGAAACAUUUCCCCACGGCGUGACUUCUCUGGUGUAUUAACAAAUAAGAAUUCCUACUGAAAGAUUUCCCACAAUCAGGACCAUUCAAAAGAGUUUAUCAUCUGUGUGAGUCAUCUGGUUUCUAAUGAGAUGGGAAUUUUGAUUAAAACAUUUUCCACAGUCUAGACACUCAAAUGGUUUCUCUCCUGUGUGAGUCCUCUGGUGUCUUACCAGGCAAGAAUUGUGACUGAAACUUUUCCCACAAUAAGGACAUUCAAAGGGUUUCUUUCCUGUAUGAGUCCUCUGGUGUAUUACCAGGUAGGAAUUGCAAGUAAAACUUUUCCCACAAGGAGGAUAUUCAAAGGGUUUAAUCUCCGGUGUGAGUCCUGUGGUGUCUCAUGAGGUCAGAAUUUUGACUAAAGCCUUUUCUACAGUCAGAACAUUUAAAGUGUUUCUCUCCUGUGUGAGUCCUCUGGUGUUUUACCAGGCUGGAAUUAUCACUAAAACCUUUUCCACAGUCAGGACAUUCAAAGGGUUUCUCUCCUGUGUGAGUUCUCUGGUGUAUUACCAAGUAGGAAUUCCGACUGAAACUUUUCCCACAGUCAGGACAAUCAAAGGGUUUCUCUCCUGUAUGAGUCUUCUGGUGUUUAACCAGGGUGGAAUUCUGACUGAAACUUUUCCCACAAUCAGGACAUUCAAAGGGUUUCUCUCCUGUGUGUGUCCUCUGGUGUUUCACCAGGGUGGAAUUAACACUAAAACCUUUUCCACAGUCAGGACAUUCAUAGGGUUUCUCUCCUGUGUGAGUUCUCUGGUGUCUCAUGAGGCUGAAAUUUGUGAUGAAAAAUUUCCCACAAUUAGGACAUUCAAAGGGUUUCUCUCCUGUGUGAAUCCUCUGGUGUAUUACCAGGUAAGAAUUGCGACUAAAACUUUUCCCACAAAUAGGGCAUUCGAAGGGCUUAUCUUCUGUGUGAGUUCUCUGGUGCAUUACCAGAUAGGAAUUGCGACUAAAACUUUUCCCACAAAUAGGACAUUCAAAGGGUUUAUCUCCUGUGUGAGUCCUCUGGUGUAUUACCAGGUAGGAAUUAUCACUAAAACUUUUCUCACAGAUAGGACAUUCAAAGGGUUUCUCUCCGGUGUGAGUCCUCUGGUGUAUUACCAGGUAGGAAUUCUGACUGAAACUUUUCCCACAGAUAGGACAUUCAAUGGGUUUCUCUCCUGUGUGAGUCCUCUGGUGUCUCAUGAGAUCAGAAUCUGACUAAAGCCUUUUCUACAGUCAGGACAUUCAAACAGUUUCUUUCCUGUGUGAGUACUCUGGUGUCUCAUGAGGUGGGAAUUCUGACCAAAACCUUUUCCAAAUAGGACAUUCAAAAAGUUUCUCUCCUGUGUGAGUCUCUGGUGUAUUACCAAAUAGGAAUUCCGACUGAAACUUUUCCCACA